AGUAAUGUAUGGGGAUCUGCCUGAUGGCGGGGGAUAACUACUGGAAGCGGUAGCUAAUACCGCAUAAUGUCUGCGGACCAAAGCGGGGGACCUCCGGGCCUCGCGCCAUCAGAUGAACCCAUAUGGGAUUAGCUAGUAGGUAAGGUAACGGCUUACCUAGGCGACGAUCCCUAGCUGGUCUGAGAGGAUGAUCAGCCACACUGGGACUGAGACACGGCCCAG
This 222-nucleotide ribosomal RNA is filed under the name uncultured bacterium. Its description in RNAcentral is "partial 16S ribosomal RNA". It matches the Rfam family "Bacterial small subunit ribosomal RNA", at positions 109 to 334 of the family's 1533-position model. The record is from RNAcentral.